Molecule: long non-coding RNA, 1942 nt
Filed under: Phaseolus vulgaris (common bean)
Lineage: Eukaryota; Viridiplantae; Streptophyta; Magnoliopsida; Fabales; Fabaceae
Description: long non-coding RNA (PVUL_LNC004258)
Source: RNAcentral
UUUUUUUUUUUAGUGAUUGAUUUAGAGCAUUAUGUUGUUUAUUAUAUAUUUUAUUUAUUUUUAUCAUUAUGUUAUUUUUUAUAUUUUUAUUUAUGGUAUUGAGUAUAAAAUAUCAUUGAUGAUAACAAUAAUAGGGUUAGGUGAAUCGUAAUUGUGAAAGUAAGAGCAUAAAAUAUAGUAUUAGAUGAUGAACAGAUUACAUUACUGAAUCCCACUGGUCUUAGAAAAAGAUCUGUAGAAUAGGAGAUAAACAAACAAACAAAGAUUUAUUCUGAAACACAAGUACUUAACUUAACUCAACAACACAGCUAUAGAAAGAUGAUACAUAAAUCAUCUUCUAUAUAUGGAGAUUGAAGUUUUAACAGUGUUUGGUGCAGAAGCAUCUACGACGGAAGCCACGGCAGUGUCCUCCGCUGAAACGUUCAGUUCGGCAGACAGAAGCACAGUUGGUGUCACUCACACAUGGUCCCUUGAAACGGUGGCUCUGAGACUCACAAGUUCUUGCCUCCGCCACCAUUCUUGGUCCCAUCUCUGCUCAACACAUUAUGCAACACAACUUAUAGACAAGAUCACAAUAAAGAAAACCCUAAAAUGGAAGUAUUGAGCAUGGAGAAAAGCUUACCAGUGGCGAGAAGAAGCAGAAGAAAGACGAAGAUGGUUGAGACAAAAGACACAGAGCGAGCCAUGGAUGAGAGAGUGAGCAAGUUUGAAGAACAACUGAAGAAGCUGGGGUUGAUAGCGAAAUGCAAUGGAGCUGCUUUGCCUUAAAUAGAGAUCAUCAAGGUAAAAACAUGUGGUAAUAUUUCUUACUUACAUUAAAUUACUUAAUCAAUUAUUUAGUAAUUUUAAUUGCAUCUUUUAAUUCAUUCUUCAACUUUUAUUUUAUUAUUUUUUAAUUAUUAUUUUUUAAUUAAUUGUACAAAAAGUGUAUUCUAGCCACUUUUGAGAACUCGUGAAAAUAUAGCAAGAUUGAGUGAAUCUAUAAAGUUUAGAGUAAUAAAAAAUGUAAAAAAAAAAAAUACUGAAUUUAAAUAGUUUUUUAAUUGAAUUUUAUACCGGGAAUUUAAAAUUUCUGAAGAACUAGUUAAAGAUAAUAAAUUUCGAUAUUCAACUUAAACAAGUUAAAAAUUAUAAAAUAGUUACUAAAUAAGGAGUUUAACUAUGACAAUGAAUAUAAAAAUGAAAAGAAAAUAAUUUAUACUUUCGAGUCCUGAAUUAUAUAAUGAAAAGAAAAUAAUGUUUUCUGGUUUGCAUUAAGACCCUGUUUGUUUUAAAAUGCUUUAGGAGAAAAAGAUGAUUAUUUGUGAAAUGAAUGAUCGAGAAAAAGGUGAGGAAGCAUCAUUAUUGAGAAGCGGUGGUGAUGAGAGAGGCUUUAUCGCUUUGAGACAAUCUUUAUGACAAACACGGUGUCGACCUUCAGCUUUUCCAUUUUCACGUUUUUUUAACAUUUCAGAACUCAUCACUACACGUAAGCGCGUUUCCUUCUUUGCUCAUUCUGUAUCACAUGGGCUGGUAAGUGGGUCCCUUCGCUCGUACCAAACAGGACCUUUCGCUCACUUUUUUAUUUACUUUUUUUCAUUUCUUUGAAUUUGGUUGUAGAGUAUUACGUAUUCAUAUUUCUUUAAACAUCACUUUUUGUAAAGAGGGAAUAGACAGAAGAAAUAGAAAAUAUGGGGAUGGAAUUAAGAGAAUUAUUAUUAUUUUUUUCGGUUGGUCGAUCGAAUUAUUUUAUUUUAUUAUUUUAACGAUUUUCUCGUACUUAUCUUGUUUAUCUGUUUUUCGUUUUUUUAAAUUCUAUACUUUGAUAAUACUUAUAAAAGACAUUCUUACAUUAAAGUAAGACUACUCGGUGUUAUUAGUACUGGAUGAUGAAGUACUUGAUUCUUGAAAUCUGUAUCUACUUAUAUGAUUAUCAUGGAUAUUUUAUUGGACCGGAUUAAGG